AGAGUAUCAAGUUUCCGAAACAUAAGCUAAUUCUACACAUAAUUGGAUAUCAUUCGGAUAAAGCCAAAAUAUCUUUCUUACAACUAUAUUAAAAUACAAACUAGAUCAAUUUCUAAAUAGAAACAAAGUAAACCUUCAAAAUAAAUUUGAUAAAGCAAGAUUCUUACUAUCAAAUGGUUUCUUAAUUUGAUAAAGCCACUUCGUAUGGAAGGUAAAAUACUAAGAACCGCGUUAAAAGACCACUUGCAUGAAAACAAGAAAAAUAAGUCAUUAUCAAUUCCUCAAAUUGAAAGAAGGCUUUCCUUAUAAAUUGCCAUCUGACAUAAAAAUGCUUUGACACCAAGCUCAUCAAUCCUCUGGGUAUCCAAAUCAAAGCAGACCAGUUCGCUAUAUAGAUAAGAAGAUUCUAGUUCGCUAUCUAGUUC
This 425-nucleotide long non-coding RNA is filed under the name Trifolium pratense (red clover). Its description in RNAcentral is "long non-coding RNA (TPRA_LNC003444)". The record is from RNAcentral. Lineage: Eukaryota; Viridiplantae; Streptophyta; Magnoliopsida; Fabales; Fabaceae.